UGGCGUGUCGUCAGCUCGUGUCGUGAGAUGUUGGGUUAAGUCCCGCAACGAGCGCAACCCUUUCCUUAUUUGCCAGCACUCGGGUGGGAACUUUAAGGAUACUGCCAGUGACAAACUGGAGGAAGGCGGGGACGACGUCAAGUCAUCAUGGCCCUUACGGCCAGGGCUACACACGUGCUACAAUGGUCGGUACAAAGGGUUGCUACACAGCGAUGUGAUGCUAAUCUCAAAAAGCCGAUCGUAGUCCGGAUUGGAGUCUGCAACUCGACUCCAUGAAGUCGGAAUCGCUAGUAAUCGCGGAUCAGAAUGCCGCGGUGAAUACGUUCCCGGGCCUU
Molecule: ribosomal RNA, 335 nt
Filed under: uncultured Acinetobacter sp.
Lineage: Bacteria; Pseudomonadati; Pseudomonadota; Gammaproteobacteria; Moraxellales; Moraxellaceae
Description: bacterial SSU rRNA
Rfam family: Bacterial small subunit ribosomal RNA
Source: RNAcentral